Molecule: ribosomal RNA, 368 nt
Filed under: uncultured eukaryote
Lineage: Eukaryota
Description: partial 18S ribosomal RNA
Rfam family: Eukaryotic small subunit ribosomal RNA
Source: RNAcentral
CAGUAGCGUAUAUUAAAGUUGUUGCAGUUAAAAUGCUCGUAGUUGAAGUUCGGAUGCGGCAGAGCUUGGAAACGCUGUUAUGGUGCUUCCGUUGCUUUUGCUUGUCCACAGUGCGUUGCAAGUACGUAUGUGCUUGUGCGUGCAUUUUACUUUGAGAAACAUAGGGUGUUCCACGCAUGUUACGGCAUGAAUAUUCCAGCAUGGGAUAAUCUGGUACGACUUCCAAUCUGCCAUUUUGGUUCGUAGGUUGGAAGUAAUGAUUAAUAGGGACUGUCGGGGGCAUUGGUAUUUGACUGUCAGAGGUGAAAUUCUUAGAUUCGUUGAGGACCAACCACUGCGAAAGCAUUUGUCAAGGAUGUCUCCAUUAG